Astyanax mexicanus (Mexican tetra) is the source of this 829-nucleotide long non-coding RNA. RefSeq lists it as uncharacterized. The record is from RefSeq and is a predicted model, not a curated record. The transcript is spliced from 3 exons. NCBI's taxonomy places the organism in Eukaryota, Metazoa, Chordata, Actinopteri, Characiformes, Acestrorhamphidae.
AAAGAGUGAGGACUCAGUGGCAUACAGCAGUUUCGUCAUCAAAAAUAAGCCAAAAUCAUCUGCACCAGUUCCUGAAAACGACGUGACCUACAGCUCUGUACAAAAAUCUCCUACCAAUAAAACUGUCUCUCCGGCCGGUAGAGAUGACGGGGUGAUCUACAGCUCUGUGGUUUGCAAGUAAGAGGUGAGAGACUGUCAGACUGAAGGACAACAUAUGGUACAACAGCUGUCACGUGAAGCAAUUGAUGUCAUUAAACAACUGAGUUUAUUUCCACAAAUUGAGCACAAACCCAACAGAUCCCACCAGUCAUGGAACUUCAGGGACCCUUUCUGAUGCCCACAAUUUUUAAUAGGGUCCCCCUGAUGCCUACAAUUUAUGUACAAUAUCUUGUAAAUCAUUACUGGAUGGGGUGAAAUGAUGGGGUAACACUGUUAAAGCACUAUUUGGAACAGUGAAUUUCAAAUUAUAUAACCUGCAGUGGGGUAAAUCACUCCAGAGAGCAUGCUGAGAAGAGUUUAAUCAGGGUUUGCUUGUUUGUUAACAUUUGUUAAAGUUAACCCUUAGAACUCCAUUAAUGCAAAUUGUGUCAAAAAUCUCUUUUAUAUAUGUUUAUACAGCUAAAUUACGUCAACGCACCAACAUGAUUCGUAUACUGUGACAAACAGGAGACCCAAUUGUUUUAAAAAUAGCACUGACCUCGCUCUGAACUGAACUGUUUUUGAGAAAUCUAGAGGUGUGAUUAUUAAGAAAAAUAAAUCUGCCUGGUGCUGCUCAUGUAUUAUAUCACAGAAAUAAGCCAUGUAAUUAACUCAUCAUCAAAAUCCUUAA